RNAcentral lists this ribosomal RNA (301 nucleotides) under uncultured bacterium. RNAcentral's name for it is "partial 16S ribosomal RNA". It matches the Rfam family "Bacterial small subunit ribosomal RNA", at positions 509 to 808 of the family's 1533-position model. The record is from RNAcentral.
CAGCAGCCACGGGAAUACGAAGGUGGCUAGCGUUGUUCGGAUUUACUGGGCGUAAAGGGCGCGUAGGCGGACUGAUAAGUCAGGGGUGAAAUCCCAAGGCUCAACCUUGGAACUGCCUUUGAUACUGUUUGUCUUGAGUUCGAGAGAGGUAAGUGGAACUGCGAGUGUAGAGGUGAAAUUCGUAGAUAUUCGCAAGAACACCAGUGGCGAAGGCGGCUUACUGGCUCGAAACUGACGCUGAGGCGCGAAAGCGUGGGAGCAAACAGGAUUAGAUACCCCGGUAGUCCCUGUCUCUUAUACC